GAAAUGUGUGCGCUUGUUCCCUCUUAUUAUUAUUAUUAGGAAAAAUUACUUAAAUACACUACUUUAAUUAUCUUAAUAACCAUUUAUCCCAACUUAUUUUAAAAAUUUCAAAAAUCCCUUAUUCCCCCAAUUCAAAAAAAUAUAAAAGAUACAUCAAGAUUUUCCACCUUUUUUUCACCCAAUUGGCAAGUUUUACUUUACCAAAAACUAAAUCCUAUUUUUAAGCUACCCACUUCCCCAUUAACAUCCCCAAUUAAAAUUUACCAUAUUAAUUUUUAUUCCUUUUCCUUUUUAUUUCCCUACAUUGUAGGUGUAUAAUUGUCUACUUUUAAUUCUCCAUUCCACACGUUUGCAGGUUAAUUUUGAAUUCCAGUUAAAAUUUCAUCCAUAUCUAUUUGAUAUUCUAGGACUCUCUUUCCAUCUACCAAAUUUUCUCCUUCAGCUUAUUCAUCGUGACUAUCUUUCCAUCUAACUAGAUUUUCUCAUUCAUUCAAUUCAUCGUGUGAGUUUACAAAUAUCAUGGAAGAGUGUGGUAAUUUCAAAUGUGUGUAUGAUUCUGAUGAUGAGCUGUGGGCUGAGAAUAGAUCUAAGCGAUUGCAUGACCCAUUGUUGAUGAAGAACAACAAUGAUGAGCCAAAGAAGAAGACUGAAGAAAUCAAGAAAAAAGGGCCAAGAAAAGUUACAUCAACUGUGUAACUUAUUAUACGUAGCUGGGACAGGAUGAACAAGUUUAUAUGUUGUUUUGUGUUGAAGACAAUUAUCUUUUGUGUUUUUCUAAAAGCUUAUUGGUAUUACAAUAUUUUAUUAGUUAUGAAUGUUAUAUUUUUUCAAGUUAUUUUUUUA
Solanum lycopersicum (tomato) is the source of this 843-nucleotide long non-coding RNA. RefSeq lists it as uncharacterized. NCBI's taxonomy places the organism in Eukaryota, Viridiplantae, Streptophyta, Magnoliopsida, Solanales, Solanaceae. The record is from RefSeq and is a predicted model, not a curated record.